This 76-nucleotide transfer RNA is filed under the name Hydrogenophaga sp. RNAcentral describes it as "tRNA-Pro". It matches the Rfam family "tRNA". From Rfam's summary of the family: Transfer RNA (tRNA) molecules are approximately 80 nucleotides in length. Their secondary structure includes four short double-helical elements and three loops (D, anti-codon, and T loops). Further hydrogen bonds mediate the characteristic L-shaped molecular structure. tRNAs have two regions of fundamental functional importance: the anti-codon, which is responsible for specific mRNA codon recognition, and the 3' end, to which the tRNAs corresponding amino acid is attached (by aminoacyl-tRNA synthetases). tRNAs cope with the degeneracy of the genetic code in two manners: having more than one tRNA (with a specific anti-codon) for a particular amino acid; and 'wobble' base-pairing, i.e. permitting non-standard base-pairing at the 3rd anti-codon position. The record is from RNAcentral. Lineage: Bacteria; Pseudomonadati; Pseudomonadota; Betaproteobacteria; Burkholderiales; Comamonadaceae.
CUCGGUGUAGCGCAGCUGGUAGCGCACGUGCUUUGGGAGCAUGGGGUCGGGAGUUCGAGCCUCUCCAUCGAGACCA